RNAcentral lists this transfer RNA (73 nucleotides) under Podarcis lilfordi (Lilford's wall lizard). It matches the Rfam family "tRNA". From Rfam's summary of the family: Transfer RNA (tRNA) molecules are approximately 80 nucleotides in length. Their secondary structure includes four short double-helical elements and three loops (D, anti-codon, and T loops). The record is from Rfam by way of RNAcentral. Lineage: Eukaryota; Metazoa; Chordata; Lepidosauria; Squamata; Lacertidae.
UCCUGGAUAGCUUAGUCUGUAGAGCACGAGACUCUUAAUCUCAGGGUUGUGGGUUCGAGCCCCACAUUGGGCA